RNAcentral lists this ribosomal RNA (337 nucleotides) under uncultured Pseudomonadota bacterium. RNAcentral describes it as "bacterial SSU rRNA". It matches the Rfam family "Bacterial small subunit ribosomal RNA", at positions 29 to 351 of the family's 1533-position model. Lineage: Bacteria; Pseudomonadati; Pseudomonadota. The record is from RNAcentral.
AACGAACGCUGGCGGCGUGCCUAACACAUGCAAGUCGAACGGAAUUGAAGGGCUUGCUCUUCAAUUUAGUGGCGCACGGGUGAGUAACGCGUAGAUAAUCUGCCUGAUGGUCCGGGAUAACAGUUCGAAAGGACUGCUAAUACCGGAUAAGCCCACGAGCACUUUGGUGUUUGCGGGAAAAGGGGGGACCGUAAGGCCUUCUGUCAUCAGAUGAGUCUGCGUACCAUUAGCUAGUUGGUAGGGUAAAGGCCUACCAAGGCUACGAUGGUUAGCUGGUCUGAGAGGAUGAUCAGCCACACUGGAACUGAGACACGGUCCAGACUCCUACGGGAGGCAG